RNAcentral lists this ribosomal RNA (472 nucleotides) under uncultured bacterium. Its description in RNAcentral is "partial 16S ribosomal RNA". It matches the Rfam family "Bacterial small subunit ribosomal RNA", at positions 355 to 820 of the family's 1533-position model. The record is from RNAcentral.
UGGGGAAUAUUGCACAAUGGGCGCAAGCCUGAUGCAGCCAUGCCGCGUGUGUGAAGAAGGCCUUCGGUUGUAAAGCACUUUCAGCGAGGAGGAAGGUGGUGAGCUUAAUACGCUCAUCAAUUGACGUUACUCGCAGAAGAAGCACCGGCUAACUCCGUGCCAGCAGCCGCGGUAAUACGGAGGGUGCAAGCGUUAAUCGGAAUUACUGGGCGUAAGGCGCACGCAGGCGGUUUGUUAAGUCAGAUGUGAAAUCCCCCGGGCUCAACCUGGGAACUGCAUUUGAAACUGGCAAGCUAGAGUCUCGUAGAGGGGGGUAGAAUUCCAGGUGUAGCGGUGAAAUGCGUAGAGAUCUGGAGGAAUACCGGUGGCGAAGGCGGCCCCCUGGACGAAGACUGACGCUCAGGUGCGAAAGCGUGGGGAGCAAACAGAUUAGAUACCCUGGUAGUCCACGCUGUAAACGAUGUCGAUUUUU